Molecule: ribosomal RNA, 436 nt
Filed under: uncultured Alphaproteobacteria bacterium
Lineage: Bacteria; Pseudomonadati; Pseudomonadota; Alphaproteobacteria
Description: bacterial SSU rRNA
Rfam family: Bacterial small subunit ribosomal RNA
Source: RNAcentral
GAACGCUUGCUGCAUGCUUUAUACAUGCAAGUCGAACGGAGGCCCUAGCUUGCUAGGUGUCCUUAGUGGCGCACGGGUGAGUAACACGUGGGAACAUACCUCAUAGUACGGAAUAACUGCGGGAAACUGUAGCUAAUACCGUAUAUUCCAGUAAUGGGAAAGAUUUAUCGCUAUGAGAUUGGCCCGCGCAAGAUUAGUUUGUUGGUAAGGUAAUGGCUUACCAAGGCUACGAUCUUUAGCUGGUUUGAGAGGAUGAUCAGCCACACUGGGACUGAGACACGGCCCAGACUCCUACGGGAGGCAGCAGUAGGGAAUAUUGGACAAUGGGGGCAACCCUGAUCCAGCAAUGCAGCGUGAGUGACGAAGGCCUUAGGGUUGUAAAACUCUUUCAUCGGUGAGGAUAAUGACAGUAGCCGAAGAAGAAGGACCGGCUAAU